This 492-nucleotide ribosomal RNA is filed under the name uncultured bacterium. Its description in RNAcentral is "partial 16S ribosomal RNA". It matches the Rfam family "Bacterial small subunit ribosomal RNA", at positions 29 to 507 of the family's 1533-position model. The record is from RNAcentral.
AUUGAACGCUGGCGGCAUGCUUUACACAUGCAAGUCGAACGGUAACAGGCCUUCGGGUGCUGACGAUUGGCGAACGGGUGAGUAAUGCAUCGGAACGUACCCAGAGCUGGGGGAUAACGCAGCUAAAGCUGUGCUAAUACCGCAUGUGAUCUGAGGAUGAAAGCGGGGGACCGAGCAGCAAUGUUUGGCCUCGCGCCUUUGGAGCCGCCGAUGUGGGAUUAGCUAGUUGGGGGGGUAAAGGCCUACCAAGGCGACGAUCCGUAGCUGGUCUGAGAGGACGACCAGCGAACUGGGGGCGGAGCCACGGACAAGAGGACUAAGAGAGGGAGCAGACGGGUAUGUUGGACAAUGGGGGGAAGUAUGAUCCAGCAAGGGCGCGUGUGGGAAGAAAGCGUUCGGGUUGUAAAGAGCUUUUGGCAGGAACGAACCGGUGUCCGCUAAUACCGGGCGCGAAUGACGGUACCUGCAGAAUAAGCACCGGCUAACUACGUG